RNAcentral lists this long non-coding RNA (349 nucleotides) under Homo sapiens (human). RNAcentral describes it as "long intergenic non-protein coding RNA 2842". Lineage: Eukaryota; Metazoa; Chordata; Mammalia; Primates; Hominidae. The record is from RNAcentral.
AGAAGGUUAUGAAAUGAAAGAGAUUGACCCCACUCCCCAUUACUGUCUGUAUAGGUGCUUACACUUCUGAGACAUACAAAUUGAUAUGGAAUAAUUUGUGAAAAUGGAAUUGCCUUAAAGAAUUUGAAGUAAGAGCACAAUUCUGGGAGUGGAGUUCUUAGAUGAUUCACAACAUUCCUCUUAGAAUUAAUUUAAGUAUUUUGUUUCACUAGGGUGCAAGUCUAUGAAGUUGUUUAUGCCACCAUUUCAGAAGUCAAAGCACCACUAUUCAUUUUACAACUUCUUUCUGCAAAGCACUGUACCACCUUCUGAAUGUAAUACGUAGUUGAAUAAAAAAAUUAUUCCCGUA